GAUGAACGCUGGCGGCGUGCCUAAUACAUGCAAGUCGAGCGAACAGAUAAGGAGCUUGCUCCUUUGACGUUAGCGGCGGACGGGUGAGUAACACGUGGGUAACCUACCUAUAAGACUGGAAUAACUCCGGGAAACCGGGGCUAAUGCCGGAUAACAUUUAGAACCGCAUGGUUCUAAAGUGAAAGAUGGUUUUACUAUCACUUAUAGAUGGACCCGCGCCGUAUUAGCUAGUUGGUAAGGUAACGGCUUACCAAGGCAACGAUACGUAGCCGACCUGAGAGGGUGAUCGGCCACACUGGAACUGAGACACGGUCCAGACUCCUACGGGAGGCAGCAGUAGGGAAUCUUCCGCAAUGGGCGAAAGCCUGACGGAGCAACGCCGCGUGAGUGAUGAAGGUCUUCGGAUCGUAGAACUCUGUUAUUAGGGAAGAACAAAUGUGUAAGUAACUGUGCACGUCUUGACGGUACCUAAUCAGAAAGCCACGGCUAACUACGUG
Molecule: ribosomal RNA, 497 nt
Filed under: uncultured bacterium
Lineage: Bacteria
Description: partial 16S ribosomal RNA
Rfam family: Bacterial small subunit ribosomal RNA
Source: RNAcentral